RNAcentral lists this small RNA (585 nucleotides) under Hypomyces pseudocorticiicola. RNAcentral describes it as "eukaryotic LSU rRNA". The stretch from base 217 to 370 matches the Rfam family "5.8S ribosomal RNA". Lineage: Eukaryota; Fungi; Ascomycota; Sordariomycetes; Hypocreales; Hypocreaceae. The record is from RNAcentral.
UCUCCGUUGGUGAACCAGCGGAGGGAUCAUUACCGAGUUUUCAACUCCCAAACCCCAAUGUGAACCUCAUACCGUACGUUGCUUCGGCGGGCUCAUCGCCCCGGGCUCGCCCCGGAGACAGGCACCCGCCGGAGGACCACCAAACUCUCAGUAUUACAUCAGUAUCAGUGGCAACUCUGAGUGGCGCGUCAGCGCACAAACAAAAAAAUGAAUCAAAACUUUCAACAACGGAUCUCUUGGUUCUGGCAUCGAUGAAGAACGCAGCGAAAUGCGAUAAGUAAUGUGAAUUGCAGAAUUCAGUGAACCAUCGAAUCUUUGAACGCACAUUGCGCCCGCCAGUAUUCUGGCGGGCAUGCCUGUUCGAGCGUCAUUUCAACCCUCAAGCCCCCCCGGGGGCUCGGCGUUGGGGACCGGCACCGCCCUCGCAGCGGUCGCCGCCCCCGAAAUACAGUGGCGGUCCCGCCGCAGCCUCCCCUGCGCAGUAGCACAGCUCGCAGAAGGAGCGCGGCGCGGCCACGCCGUAAAACACCCCAAACAAACGAAAUUGUUGACCUCGGAUCAGGUAGGAAUACCCGCUGAACUUAA